This 1446-nucleotide ribosomal RNA is filed under the name uncultured marine microorganism. RNAcentral describes it as "bacterial SSU rRNA". It matches the Rfam family "Bacterial small subunit ribosomal RNA". The record is from RNAcentral.
AGGGUUCGAUUCUGGCUCAGGAUGAACGCUGGCGGCGUGCUUAACACAUGCAAGUCGAACGAACCUUCGGGUUAGUGGCGGACGGGUGAGUAACGCGUGGGAAUCUGCCCUCAGGAGGGGGAUAACGGUUGGAAACGACCGCUAAUACCCCAUAUGCCGAGAGGUGAAAUGAAUUUCGCCUGAGGAUGAGCCCGCGUCUGAUUAGCUUGUUGGUGAGGUAAUGGCUCACCAAGGCAUCGAUCAGUAGCUGGUCUGAGAGGAUGAUCAGCCACACUGGGACUGAGACACGGCCCAGACUCCUACGGGAGGCAGCAGUGGGGAAUUUUCCGCAAUGGGCGAAAGCCUGACGGAGCAACGCCGCGUGAGGGACGAAGGCCUCUGGGCUGUAAACCUCUUUUCUCAAGGAAGAAGAUAUGACGGUACUUGAGGAAUAAGCCACGGCUAAUUCCGUGCCAGCAGCCGCGGUAAUACGGGAGUGGCAAGCGUUAUCCGGAAUUAUUGGGCGUAAAGCGUCCGCAGGCGGCCUUUCAAGUCUGCUGUUAAAACGUGGAGCUUAACUCCAUCAUGGCAGUGGAAACUGAUUGGCUUGAGUAUGGUAGGGGCAGAGGGAAUUCCCGGUGUAGCGGUGAAAUGCGUAGAUAUCGGGAAGAACACCAGUGGCGAAGGCGCUCUGCUGGGCCAUUACUGACGCUCAUGGACGAAAGCCAGGGGAGCGAAAGGGAUUAGAUACCCCUGUAGUCCUGGCCGUAAACGAUGAACACUAGGUGUCGGGGGAAUCGACCCCUUCGGUGUCGUAGCUAACGCGUUAAGUGUUCCGCCUGGGGAGUACGCACGCAAGUGUGAAACUCAAAGGAAUUGACGGGGGCCCGCACAAGCGGUGGAGUAUGUGGUUUAAUUCGAUGCAACGCGAAGAACCUUACCAGGGCUUGACAUCCUGCGAACCUUUAAGAAAUUAGAGGGUGCCUUCGGGAACGCAGUGACAGGUGGUGCAUGGCUGUCGUCAGCUCGUGUCGUGAGAUGUUGGGUUAAGUCCCGCAACGAGCGCAACCCACGUUUUUAGUUGCCAGCAUUUAGUUGGGCACUCUAGAAAGACCGCCGGUGAUAAACCGGAGGAAGGUGUGGAUGACGUCAAGUCAUCAUGCCCCUUACGUCCUGGGCUACACACGUACUACAAUGCUACGGACAAAGGGCAGCAAACUCGCGAGAGCUAGCAAAUCCCAUAAACCGUGGCUCAGUUCAGAUCGUAGGCUGCAACUCGCCUACGUGAAGUAGGAAUCGCUAGUAAUCGCAGGUCAGCAUACUGCGGUGAAUACGUUCCCGGGCCUUGUACACACCGCCCGUCACACCAUGGAAGUUGGCCACGCCCGAAGUCGUUACUUUAACCCUUGUGGAGAAGGACGCCGAAGGUGGGGCUGAUGACUGGGGUGAAGUCGUAACAAGGUAACC